Molecule: ribosomal RNA, 305 nt
Filed under: uncultured bacterium
Lineage: Bacteria
Description: bacterial SSU rRNA
Rfam family: Bacterial small subunit ribosomal RNA
Source: RNAcentral
GUACCCCUACGGGGGGCAGCAGUGGGGAAUAUUGCACAAUGGGGGAAACCCUGAUGCAGCAACGCCGCGUGAGUGAAGGAGUAUUUCGGUAUGUAAAGCUCUAUCAGUAGGGAAGAAGAAAGACGGUACCUGACUAAGAAGCCCCGGCUAACUACGUGCCAGCAGCCGCGGUAAUACGGAGGAUGCGAGCGUUAUCCGGAUUUAUUGGGUUUAAGGGGUGCGCAGGCGGCGAGUUAAGUCAGCGGUAAAAUUUCGGGGCUCAACCCCGACGAGCCGUUGAAACUGGCUUGCUAGAGUGGGCGAGA